This 403-nucleotide ribosomal RNA is filed under the name uncultured bacterium. RNAcentral's name for it is "partial 16S ribosomal RNA". It matches the Rfam family "Bacterial small subunit ribosomal RNA", at positions 30 to 526 of the family's 1533-position model. The record is from RNAcentral.
AUUGAACGCUGGCGGCAGGCCUAAUACAUGCAAGUCGAGCGAGCGGCGGACGGGUGAGUAAUGUAUGGGGACUGCCCGAUAGAGGGGGAUAACUACUGGAAACGGUGGCUAAUACCGCAUACUAUCGGAUAACCCAUAUGGGAUGAGCUAGUAGGUGGGGUAAAGGCUCACCUAGGCGACGAUCUCUAGCUGGUCUGAGAGGAUGAUCGGCCACACUGGGACGGAGACACGGCCCAGACUCCUACGGAGGAAGCAGUGGGGAAUAUUGGAAAAUGGGCGCAAGCCUGAUGAAGCCAUGCCGCGUGUAUGAAGAAGGCCUUGGGGUUGUAAAGUACUUUCAGCGGGGAGGCGUUACCCACAGAAGAAGCACCGGCUAACUCCGUGCCAGCAGCCGCGGUAAUUC